CCUACGGGGGGCUGCAGUGGGGAAUAUUGCACAAUGGGCGCAAGCCUGAUGCAGCCAUGCCGCGUGUAUGAAGAAGGCCUUCGGGUUGUAAAGUACUUUCAGUCGUGAGGAAGGUGUUAAGGUUAAUAACCUUAGCAAUUGACGUUAGCGACAGAAGAAGCACCGGCUAACUCCGUGCCAGCAGCCGCGGUAAUACGGAGGGUGCGAGCGUUACUCGGAAUUACUGGGCGUAAAGGGCACGCAGGCGGUUAGUAUAGAUGGAUGUGAAAGCCCAGUGCUGAACCUUGGAAUGGCAUUCAAGGAUUGUCUGCAAGAGGCGUGUAGAGGGGGGUAGAAGUGCAUGUGCAGCGGUGAAAUGCGUAGAGAUGUGGCAGAUUACCGGGGGCGAAGGCGGCUACCUUAACAAAGACUGACGUUCAUGUUCGAAAGCGUGGGGAGCGAACAGGAUUAGCUACCCUUGUAGUC
Molecule: ribosomal RNA, 465 nt
Filed under: uncultured Arsenophonus sp.
Lineage: Bacteria; Pseudomonadati; Pseudomonadota; Gammaproteobacteria; Enterobacterales; Morganellaceae
Description: bacterial SSU rRNA
Rfam family: Bacterial small subunit ribosomal RNA
Source: RNAcentral